Molecule: long non-coding RNA, 4172 nt
Organism: Andrographis paniculata
Lineage: Eukaryota; Viridiplantae; Streptophyta; Magnoliopsida; Lamiales; Acanthaceae
Exons: 6
Source: RefSeq, a predicted model, not a curated record
AUUACAUCGUCCUCAAUCUUUUGACAGUGUGCAUUUGUGGGGUGUCUGAAAAUUUAUUUCUGUGGCGGAUGUGCUGCCAUGUCUACUCGCUGCUUAUCUUCUCACCUUUUCAUUGUCCCAUGGAAAUGUGGUCCGACAAAAACAUUAUUAUUAGAUGCAACAAAACAGUAAGCAUACAUGAAGGCGAAGAAGACUGCGAAUCCGAUCAAGACUGCCGCGACCGGGCCCUUGAAGUCGGGAUCAUAUCCAAAGUGGUCUUGAAUAUAUUUCUGGAUUGUCGGCUGUGUCGACAUUCCGGCUACUGUGAUGGUAUUCUGUGCAUCUCCAUACUGCCCGAUGAUCAGCCCGUAUACUGUCCACGCCACGGGGCAUAUCCAGUAGUACCACACCCACCAUUUCGGAAUUUGCUGAGAAUUCAAGUUUUGAAAAAGUUACUGUCGAUGAAUACACAUUUUUAUCUGAUGCCGAUGUUUUUGAGGUGAAAAAUAGCUUACCGGUCGGGGGAUGAAGAAGCCGGAGAAGAGAUUGAAAAGUGCAUAAAAGGCUGCUGCGAAAAUCGCGGCUACUUGGUGGUUCGGCGUGAUGGAAACAGUCAUCAUUCCGUAGUAUGUGAAGUAGAGGAAGGAGAAGAAUGUGACGAAGAAGAACCAGAAGAACUUGGAAGCUGUCCAUUCGAAGCUAACCAUGGCGUACACUAUUAGAGUGUAGUAUGUCGCCUGAAUUAGCACGUAUGGUAUUUCUACGACGACCUGCAUUUCAGACAGCCGAAGAAAUCUUAAAUUCGAGAUGUUCAACACCUGGUUCGAACAGAUUCGAGAAUAUAAGCUUCACCUGUGCCAUGGCAUACGGCAGCGCAGAAUACAUCCCCGCAGCUCUUUCCCUGUAAAACACGGUUCUUUCGACUGCUACGACUGGCUGCACCGUCGAACAGUUGUUGAUUCCGACGAACAACACGGCAGCAUACAUGGCUCCUAUGAUCGUCAAAAGAUCUGUAUCUGUGCUCCUGAACUCGAAAAAAAAAUGGAAUGAGUGAAAUCAGUGAAUACAGCUUAAGGUUGAAAAAGAAGUGUUCUUUGAAAAAAAUGGCGUCGAACUUUUUCGUGCCGACUCUCCAGAAUAUUGUCCCGACAAGAAGCGCACACGCCAAGGUGAAGAAGUAUCGGACAAGAUUAUAAUCCGGACUUCUCCAGUAAGUCCACCAUUGUUUCCAGAGACAGUACUUAAAUUGUCCCCACGUCGAUUGCGAGUAUUGUGUGUUGAAGAACAGGUCUUUUGUUCCUGGAGCCGGCGUGCUCAGCUCGUUUACCAGAUCUUUGUUUCGCCUAGUAUUCCGCGAAGUCCAUUCCGAGCCUAGCUUCUGUCGCCAUCGAGCUAACUUCAAGCAUCCAUGUCGCCGGAUUGUAUUUCUCUUUGAUUUUUGGUAUUCCGGGAAUCGCCUACAUUCGACAGCAGCAUCACUAGUUCUCCCCGUGUCAACCGUAUUCCUCACUGUCCUCAUCACAAUAGCUGCUGCUCUUGCGUCAAGACCAGAAGUUGGCUCAUCCAUGAAAAUAAUCGAAGGAUUGGCGACAAGUUCAACUGCUAUAGUCAAUCUCUUCCUCUGCUCUGUCGACAAUCCAGUAACUCCCGGAAUCCCAACAAUGGCGUCCUUGAGAUUGUCUAGUUCGACGAGCUCCAUCACUUCAUCAACAAAAGCCUGCAGUCGACGUAGCCGAAGGAACGCGGAGUAAAUCAAAGAUUCGCGCACGGUUACUUGAGGUGAGUGAAUAUCAUUUUGUUCACAGUAUCCAGAAAUUCUUGCGAAAGUUUCUUGAUUUUUCGGAAAUCCAGAGAUUCUAAUAUCCCCUUCAAUAUAUCCACCCGUUUUUCGCCCGGCUAAAACAUCCAUUAGCGUAGUUUUACCUGCUCCGCUGAUUCCCAUCAGCGCAGUUAAAAUUCCCGGCCUAAAUGCGCCCGUCACUUCCCUAAGUAGCUGAAGCUUAUCCUCUGUCACACCUUGUUCUUUCAUUUCCUGUGAAAAAACAGAACAAGUUUGUCGUCACGAUAUAAAAAUAGUCGAUUGAGCUAAAAUCAGCGUAAAUUAUUCUCACCGGUGGCAUGUCCACGAGGUAGUUUACGCUGUCGAAAGACAUGGCUAAAGGAGUGAAUGGAAGAACCAUUCCUCUCUUCGGCGCAACUGCUCUCUCUGUCCCGAGAGUCGAGUUGUCGUUUCUACUUAGGCCGUAGACGUUCGAAAGACUGCUCAUACGUUGCGUUACCAUUUCCACUAAAACAAUAAGAAAACAUUCGAUUAGCAUGUACAACGAUAGUAUGAAGUGACAAAUAAAUAUUGUUUCUUACUUGAGUUGUUUCCGUCGGUCAAAGACAGGGAUCGAUGAAAGGAAUCUUUCUUCGACUUUGCUGUUCUAAGUCUCGGCGAUUCAUCCGUACCUUCUUGCUCCGAUUCCAUUUUUCGUGCUUCCUCUUUAGAUAUGAUUGCUUGUGGCUUUCCAAGAGCUGUUGUGUCGUAGGAUAACAAAGAACUUAGCUAUGGAUUACUAACACAGUAGGUUGACUAGAUCAUCGAUACUUACGAUUUAGAUACAUGAGCGAUAGAGUGAAAAGAACAUUGAAGAGUAGUAUGAACCCCGUAAGAGCGCCCACCCCGAUCCAAUACCAGUUUCUGUCGACGAAAAUGUUGAAGUUGUUCAAAACAGCCACCCCUAAUCUUGUAGCAUUGUCUGAGGCCUGGACAAGAUCGAACAUUUUAGUUCGAUUUCCCCCCGUAAAAAUGCAGUCUUUAAUCCAUUGUUUGAAAAUUGAAACUUACCAAUUUGUUCAUCCAUCUUGGCGAGAACAUCUCGUUUUCUGCAACGGCGUAGUACCCGUAGCUCAACGGCGACACCCAAAACCCCCACCCCCACCAGUCCGGGAUCUUGUCUGCAUUCGAAAAUAGCUGUUACGAUAAAUAAUUGAUUUCAUAUUUUUCAUUAUAUUCGAUCACUAACCUCUAGGCAGGAUGAAGCCGCCCAAGAGGAACACGAGCAGCAGCGUAAGCGCACCGCCGGUGUUUGCAAUAAUCAUCGUUCGGCAUAUUCCCGCGGUGAGCCGGAAGAUCCCCGCAGCCAUUUGCUGGAUGACAAAGAUCAGCAGCAGUUGCUUGAAGAAUCUAAAGAUUGUAACAAGAACAUGGUAAGAACACCUCUGUUGUGAUAGAAUUUGAUCCAUUUAUGUGUGUAUAUAUAUACCGGCUAGGUUCGGGGGCGAAUCCAAUCGUGUAGUACGUCGUGACCAUCCAAACGAUCGCUUCGAAGAUCGAGAUCGGAAUUCUCAGCAGAAACGUCGGCAGCGUAAAAGCCCACGGCGGAUGGAAAAGAAGGUCCCGUUGUUUGUAGAAGACGGGAAGUCGUUGUAUCGUGAGGGCAAGCUCGGCGAACCCGUUGAAGGUAUUGCAGAUUAUGCUGAACAAAAGCGCGCCAACGAACACCGCGCCGUCUUGUUCGUUGCGGCUGCGCAUGUGAGUCCGCAAGAACAGAGUCGACGUGAUGACAGCAACGAUGAAUAUCUGCACGGUCUUGAACACGUAGACGAACGAGUUUCGUUUGAUCAACAGCCAUUCCUUGUCGAAGUUCGCCUUCAGGAGCUCCAUUUUUGGGACGGUGUACUUUUCGAACACCAGCGCCGCUUGGUGGCUUCGACUUUUGUCGUAAGGUAUCGAAAGCUCGUUUUCGAGACGUAACCCUACGUGGAAUCGCUUGAAUCGCCUCGCGAAUUCGCUGACCGGACAUCUGAAGCCGCAGCUUUCGAAAAACUCGACGACGUUUUGUCUCGGGCCCUGGUAGACGAUCUGGCCUUCGGAUAAUAAAAUGAUGUCGUCAAAGAGAUCGAAUGUCUCCGGGGCUGGUUGUAGGAGGGACAUGAAAAUCGUGGCCUCAGUAAGGUUCACUAUUUGUUGCAAGCAUUUGACGAUCUGAAAGGUCGUCGAGCUGUCGAGGCCCGUCGAUAUCUCGUCCAUGAAUAGUGUUUUUGUCGGGCCGACGAUCAUUUCUCCUGUAUUACAUUACAUCCUUAGCAGCUCAGAAACUUGGUAGACAUGGACAAUGGUAAGUUUCUUUAACCUUAGAAGUUGCAUUUUAGUUUGUUUGAUUUUUGGUUCUGAAUGCUAGAGAAAUGAUAUCUUUGUAAUUUGUUUA